GAGUUUUUGAAUUAAUUUUUUAACUCAAAUAGGUAUAUUGUUAGAUGUUCGUAUGUAGGUACGCAAUAUCCGACAUAUAUGUAAAACUUUAGGUAAUAAAUAAGUAAGUAUUACCUAAGUAUAUAGUUUUUACACCAUUAUUAUUCGUCAUGACAAUUUAUAAAGGAUUUUAAUCAAACGAUGGACUCUUCCUGUUGGAUUCUUCUGUUUUACGCUUGCUUUUGUUUUUCAGCUAGUCACCAAGAUAACGGCGACCCAGCAUUAUCACGCAGACUGUAUAACAAUCCUUACCACCCGGAAGACGACGAAAUUACACCCAGCGACACGGAGUCCGAUAACCUGAGGAGUGGAUUGUUCGAAGAUCUGUCAAAGGAAUUAGCUCUCGAUAUGGUUACAGUGUAUCUAAACGGAACUGAAUCAACGGACUUGCCUGAAACUCAAACUGAUUACACGCGAGAGUCAUAAUAUUUUUUCCAGUGUCAAUUACGCGAGGAUAAUUCGGAGAAACUUGUUUUAAUAAAUAAAAUGAACAGCACAACGUAACACUGAGACAACUCGUAAAUAUCAUAGUAAAUGUGACAAGCUGGGAAUGUUUGCUACCAAUAUAUUUUUUAUGUAUCACUGCAUUGUAUAAAACGGAGUCGCUUUCCGUUGUCUGUCUUUAAAACUACGCUACGGAUUUUGUUGCGGGUUAUUUAAAUAUGUACUUAGUUGUAACAUGCAUAAUAUUUAGUACCGUGCUAAGCCGGGGCGGGUCGCUAGUAUCUAAUACAAUAAAUGCGAUCUAGCCAAAUAGCAGGUUUUAUAAAGUCCACAGUUAAGUAGGUAUGUAUGUUUCUUCCGUCGUCACUUUCUUGUGACUCAUACACUAUUUUAGUCACUAUUAAGUAUAUGUAUUAUUAUUGUUAUCACUUCACUAAACAAAGUCAGUUCUUUUGUUAAGUAUACUUUUUAAAGCACCUAUGUCACUCUCUAUCAAUCUCCACACCAAAAAUCACUUCAUUCUAUUUUUAUAAAUUUUUACAAUCGUGACGUGAAAUAUGAGCUUCGUCGCAAAAUACCUCGGUUUUAGCUUUCUAAGCAACCUCAUGGUAGAAAUUGUAAAUACCUAUGUUAUUGAAAAAAAAAUUUUUAAUAUUCCGCGACUAAACGCCAAACACAUUAUGUGAAAAACAAAAUAUUUAAUCAUUUGAUUUAGUGUACCUAUGUAGUUAUAUGUAUAAUAGUGAUUAAAUUGUGUAAUAGCACCAUAUCUAUAAUAUCUAUCUAUAUAUAUAUCUAUAAUACAAAUUAGUGUGGAUUAUUUGCUCGAUGUAAGCACAGUUUAAGACCAUGAGGGGAUAUAUUUUGUCAAGUCCCAAUUUUAAAGAAAGGACGUUUGAUUGCGAUUAAAAAUAAAACAAUUCUUUAUUUAACGUAAAUAAUAUCCUAAUGUUUUUAAUUGUCAUAAUCCUCGUCUUGUUUCAACUUCUUCCCUAUAUCUUUGCAUGCACCGGCAUCUGAAAAUGAGGUUAUUAAGUUUAUUUAUUAGUUGCGCCCCGGGAAUUCGCUGCCGUAGGAAUUUCGGGAUAAAAAAUUAGGUACCCUAUAUGUUAUUCCAGGUUAUAUUCUACCCGUGUACCAAAUUUCAUAAUAUUCCGUCCAGUAGAUUUUGCGUGAAAAAGCAACAAACACAAACACGUACAUCCUCACAACUUUCACAUAUAAUAUUAGUAGGAUUAGGAUUUUAGGGUCUACGAAACACAAAACACGUAGCACGUGCGUUCACACGUUCUCUUUUUUUACAAGAUAUGGUAAAAAGACACAGCAUAUGAACGGUAGUAACGUGUAAAAGUACUUUUGGUUAACGAAAUAUGUCUCUCUCGAUAUCAAGAUUCUUUUUAGUAAAACAUACGUAAAAUCAAACUGAAAAUGCUUUUUGAUCUGAAGCCGAAAGAAAGGGUUCUCUCCGAGUUGAUUCGUAAUGAUUCAACUACUAGUAAAAAUGUAAGAUUUAAUUAACAUUAAAAGUCGAUAAUUUAGUAAUUUAUUUAUCAGAUGCCUUAUCUUACCUAUAAUUUCGAGACCAUUUUCAUCUACCAUGAUAGAAUUUCUGUUUCUACAUCGAAUGAAUGCCAAAACUGGAUCUGCGUCAUCUCGAUCGUAGACCUUCAAAAGUCCAAACACAAUUUUGGUCAGUCUAAGGGUACCUACGAAUAAAAGAUACCUUAGAACCGGAAUAUCACAGAUUCGAAUACUGCUCGGUGACUCUCGAAUCGUGAGUCCGUUCCAUCAGAUUUUUACACCAAACAUAGUAAAUAUAUAAAUAUAAUUAUACAUAUUUAGCUAGUAGCUAAAUAUUCAAUCAGUAGCAUUCAAUUUUCGACCUUCUUGACUUCAUAUUGUUUUCUUUGAUAUUUACUUAUUUUUAGAUGGAACGAUGUUUAGCCGGUUAAAUCUAGAUGUAGCCGCAUAUCGGAGUUUACCCGUAGCAUACUUAAAGUAUACCUAUAUAUACAUACAUAAAUCUAUUAUUUGCUACGUACCUUAUUUAGGCAUAAUAUUUUGACAAAACGUUGCUCCCUAAUCGAAUAAUAGUACUUACUUAAUAUAUAAAAGAAGACACUGAAUGACUGACUGACAUAUCAACGCACAGCCCAAACCGCUGGGUCUAGAAACUUCAAAUUUAGCACGCAGGUUCCUUAUGUGGUUUAGGGCUACACUAAGAAAGAAUUUUUCAAAAUCCAUCCGUCUAAGGGGUUUAAAAGGGGGUUCAAUUUUUGUAUGGGGAAACCUGAUUAGUUAAAGAGUCUAAAUGUUUCACUGAAGGGAAAAUCACGCGGGCGAAGCCGCGGGCAAAAGCU
This is a long non-coding RNA of Plodia interpunctella (Indianmeal moth), 2843 nucleotides long. RefSeq lists it as uncharacterized. NCBI's taxonomy places the organism in Eukaryota, Metazoa, Arthropoda, Insecta, Lepidoptera, Pyralidae. The transcript is spliced from 3 exons. The record is from RefSeq and is a predicted model, not a curated record.